GGACCCGCACAAGUAGUGGAGCAUGUGGUUUAAUUCGAAGAUACGCGCAGAACCUUACCAACACUUGACAUGUUCGUCGCGACUCUAAGAGAUUAGAGUUUUCGGUUCGGCCGGACGAAACACAGGUGCUGCAUGGCUGUCGUCAGCUCGUGUCGUGAGAUGUUGGGUUAAGUCCCGCAACGAGCGCAACCCUCACUUUUAGUUGCCAGCGGUUCGGCCGGGGACUCUAAGAAGACUGCCAGCGCAAGCUGAGAGGAAGGUGGGGAUGACGUCAAAUCAUCACGGCCCUUACGUCCUGGGCUACACACGUGCUACAAUGGUAGAGACAGAGGGCAGCCACCUGGUGACAGGGAGCGAA
RNAcentral lists this ribosomal RNA (358 nucleotides) under uncultured bacterium. Its description in RNAcentral is "bacterial SSU rRNA". It matches the Rfam family "Bacterial small subunit ribosomal RNA", at positions 917 to 1271 of the family's 1533-position model. The record is from RNAcentral.